GAUGAACGCUAGCUACAGGCUUAACACAUGCAAGUCGUGGGGCAUCAUGAUGUAGUAAUACAUUGAUGGCGACCGGCGCACGGGUGAGUAACGCGUAUCCAACCUACCCUCCACUCAAGUAUAGGCUUCCGAAAGGGAGAUUAAUCCUUGAUAUCGUCAUUCUCUCUCCUGUUAGAAUGAUAAAAGGACAUCGUUUCGGUAGAGGAUGGGGAUGCGUUCCAUUAGGUAGUGGGUGGUUUAACAGGCCACCUAGCCGAUGAUGGAUAGGGGUUCUGAGAGGAAUAUCCCCCACACUGGUACUGAGAUACGGACCAGACUCCUACGGGAGGCAACAGUGAGGAAUAUUGGUCAAUGGGCGCAAGCCUGAACCAGCCAUGUAGCGUGAAGGAUGACGGUUUUUUUGAUUGUAAACUUCUUUUCUGUGCGAUUAAAGUGUGGCAUUUAUGCCAUAUUGCAGUAUCUCAGG
RNAcentral lists this ribosomal RNA (466 nucleotides) under Bacteroidetes bacterium oral taxon 272. RNAcentral describes it as "bacterial SSU rRNA". It matches the Rfam family "Bacterial small subunit ribosomal RNA", at positions 28 to 484 of the family's 1533-position model. Lineage: Bacteria; Pseudomonadati; Bacteroidota. The record is from RNAcentral.